CACUAAGAAGCUAUAGGACUAAGCAACAGCCUUUUAAGCUGUAGAUGGGUGACCUCCAACCACCCUUAGUGA
RNAcentral lists this transfer RNA (72 nucleotides) under Leptophryne borbonica (Java tree toad). RNAcentral describes it as "tRNA-Lys". Lineage: Eukaryota; Metazoa; Chordata; Amphibia; Anura; Bufonidae. The record is from RNAcentral.